Molecule: ribosomal RNA, 452 nt
Filed under: Johnalcornia aberrans
Lineage: Eukaryota; Fungi; Ascomycota; Dothideomycetes; Pleosporales; Pleosporaceae
Description: eukaryotic LSU rRNA
Rfam family: 5.8S ribosomal RNA (bases 117-270)
Source: RNAcentral
UCACCCAUGUCUCUUGCGUACUUGUUGUUUCCUGGGCGGGUUCGCCCGCCACCAGGACCAAACCAUAAACCUUUUUUCGUGUGCAAUCAGCGUCAGUAAACAACGUAAUUUAUUACAACUUUCAACAACGGAUCUCUUGGUUCUGGCAUCGAUGAAGAACGCAGCGAAAUGCGAUACGUAGUGUGAAUUGCAGAAUUCAGUGAAUCAUCGAAUCUUUGAACGCACAUUGCGCCCUUUGGUAUUCCAAAGGGCAUGCCUGUUCGAGCGUCAUUUGUACCCUCAAGCUUUGCUUGGUGUUGGGCGUUUGUCUCGCGGCUUCGGCCGGGAGACUCGCCUCAAAACGAUUGGCAGCCGGCCUACUGGUUUCGGAGCGCAGCACAUUUUUGCGCUUUUCAACUGGCAGACGGCACUCCAUCAAGUCAAUUUAUUUUUACUUUGACCUCGGAUCAGUA